UAGUGAUGAUUAAUAAAAUAGUAUGAUUAACGGGUAGAUCUAAUGGUGGAAAAAUUGGUAGUACCAAAUACUCGAUUAAUUAGUGUUGGUUUAAAGGGGCCAGCAUCCUGCCUUGUGGCAGGAGGCCAGGUUGGGCCGAGUCACGUACGAAAUGGCGUAAGGUCGAAUUGGAUUGAGUCAUAUUCGAUGUGGUGUGAGGCUGGUUGGGCCGAGUGAUAAUCGAGA
RNAcentral lists this long non-coding RNA (225 nucleotides) under Ananas comosus (pineapple). Its description in RNAcentral is "long non-coding RNA (ACOM_LNC029179)". Lineage: Eukaryota; Viridiplantae; Streptophyta; Magnoliopsida; Poales; Bromeliaceae. The record is from RNAcentral.